AGGCUCCCAACUCUCCCCAGCAACACUGCCUGCCCCAGGGUCUGCUCUGGUCCUCCCAGCUGACGUUUCCUACAUCCAGCUGCCUCUUUUCCUGCAUGGAACAGAUUAGGGCUGACCUGACUACUUCAUAAAAGACCUGUCUGCUUACCUGGACUGUCCUGGGCCCACCUGGAAUUUGACAUGGAUUAAACUCUUUUAAAGGCAAGACAAAAGCAUUUACUGCCAGGACAUGAUGGAUCAAUUGCCUCAACUAAUGGGGCCAGCACCAUGCCUCCCUGGGGGAAGGAAAGGCCACCAAAUGUCACACUGGAGCCAUCCAACGUCACGCCCUUCAACUGAUCACUCGCUGCCUUACCAGCAGCUGAAGGAUCUGAGCAGCAUGUCCUUCAUAUCCCUGAUCUCGCCGGCCAGAGUGCAUUUCUCUUCAGUGAGGUCCUGGAGUUGUUUUGUCUUUUUGUUGAGAA
This is a long non-coding RNA of Polyodon spathula (Mississippi paddlefish), 464 nucleotides long. RefSeq lists it as uncharacterized. The transcript is spliced from 3 exons. The record is from RefSeq and is a predicted model, not a curated record. NCBI's taxonomy places the organism in Eukaryota, Metazoa, Chordata, Actinopteri, Acipenseriformes, Polyodontidae.